ACUCAAAUGAAUUGACGGGGGCCCGCACAAGCGGUGGAGCAUGGGGAUUAAUUCGUCACUAACCGAAGAACCUUACCCAGGCUUGACAUCCGUGGAAAGUCCGUGAAAGCGGUACCCCGGCCACGAAAGUGGUCGCCACGAGACAGGUGUUGCAUGGCUGUCGUCAGCUCGUGUCGUGAGAUGUUGGGUUAAGUCCCGCAACGAGCGCAACCCUCACGCGAUGUUGCCAGCGUCAAGUCGGGCACUCUUCGCGAACUGCCCGGGUAACCGGGAGGAAGGUGGGGAUGACGUCAAGUCGGCAUGGCCCUUACGCCUGGGGCUUCACCCAUGCUACAAUGGGCGCGACAAAGGGAUGCAAGACCGCGAGGUGGAGCCAAUCCCACAAACGCGCUCUCAGUUCGGAUUGCAGGCUGCAACUCGCCUGCAUGAAGUCGGAAUCGCUAGUAACCGCCGGUCAGCUAAACGGCGGUGAAUACGUUCCCGGGCCUUGUACACACCGCCCGU
Molecule: ribosomal RNA, 504 nt
Filed under: uncultured bacterium
Lineage: Bacteria
Description: partial 16S ribosomal RNA
Rfam family: Bacterial small subunit ribosomal RNA
Source: RNAcentral